CAGGUCUUUGUGGGAUAGCCAACAUUUACACCAGCUUGGUUCAAGAAGCGGCCUGCGUGGGAGUGAUUCAACUCUUGUCAACAAUUUUGAGCAUAGAAGGUUGGACCAUAAUCAAUUGGCUAAUUAAAGAAUGCAGAGGUAACAGUGUCAAGAAUCAUGAAUUUACAUUUGGAUGAAAUUUGGUUGGGUGCAACUUACACAAAUAUUGAAAUUUAUUCAUGGAUGAGAAUUAAUAGUGGAUGAAGAAUUCUAGGAUACAUGACGUUGCAUGAAUAAAUGGUGUUAAUUCCCAAGUGAUUAACUUAUUUUGAAGAAAUUUUAAAGAAAAUUUAAAUUAGACUUCAUUUACAAUUGCAAGUA
RNAcentral lists this long non-coding RNA (360 nucleotides) under Physcomitrium patens. RNAcentral describes it as "long non-coding RNA (PPAT_LNC001908)". Lineage: Eukaryota; Viridiplantae; Streptophyta; Bryopsida; Funariales; Funariaceae. The record is from RNAcentral.